RNAcentral lists this unclassified non-coding RNA (1230 nucleotides) under Hevea brasiliensis (rubber tree). Lineage: Eukaryota; Viridiplantae; Streptophyta; Magnoliopsida; Malpighiales; Euphorbiaceae. The record is from RNAcentral.
AUAUAUAUAUAUAUAUAUGAAAUGAAAGAUAAUAGCAUUUAAGCAUUUAAACAUUUCAAGAAGAUAAUCUAAACACCCAGAUGCUCAAAGCUAAUUAAUACACUCCUAUCCAUAACACCAACAAACACACCAUGGCCCAACCCAAUAUGAAGGUCUUACUUUUCUUCAUUGAAAUAAGAAGAAAGACUUUUGAGCAUGGCCACAGCAUUCUCACAGGUAGGUUUGAACAAAUGGAACACAUGUUCUUCUUCCUUAGCCUCCAUGAUUUCCACAUGUCCUUGCCAUCCACUCUUUUUCAGAUUCUCAUAGUAAUACCAACCUCUAUUUUUCAAGAUAUCCUUCUCAGCAACAAUCACAAGAACUCUGGAACAUCCCAACCUUGCCAAUUUUGGAUCAAAAGCUGGAUUAAUCAAAGGAUCAUCCAACCCACUUGUUGUUGGGCUUACAAAAAGCCACAUAGCAUCAAUCUUUGAUCUUGUUUCUGGAUCUUUAGGCUCAUCUCCCACAGGUUCUUUGCCCCAAAAAUAAGGAUGUAUUAGAACAAUCCCUUUGAGGAUAAUACCAGGCAAUUUCUCUUCAUCAUAUCUCAAGGCCAUAUGGUGGGAUAUAUUGGCACCAGCACUAUCUCCUGCAAGAAAAACCUUACCAAAAUCUGCAUGAAGAUUUAGCCACUCUUCAGGGCCAUUACCAUUAACAUGAGAAGCAACCCAUUGAAGAGCAGACCAUGAAUCAUUGUAUACAGUAGAGAGAAGAUGCUCUGGAGCUCUUCUAUAAUCAACAGAGACUGCUAUAAUCUUAGCCUCUGCAACUAGUGAGUUGAGAUAGUUAUGGUAGGUAGGAGAAAAAGCAGUUUCUAUGCAGAAGGCUCCACCAUGAAAGUAAACCAGCAAAGGGAGUUUUUGGUCUGAUGGGUCGAUUGAUUUUGGUAGGUAAAGUCUUGAAGAAAGAUUAGCUUCUUGGAAGUAGACAACAUCUUUGGAUUGGACAUUGAUCUCUGGAUCAAGAGAAGGAGGGACGAUAUCAUUGCCCAAGAGCCUCUCAACACGCCCAUCUUCGUAUAUCUUGAGUAUGGGAGAGAGAUCUUUGACAACUUUUGGCAGGGUUGAAUCCAUGGAAAGAUAGUUGAGUGAUUUUCUGCCAGAGGACGACAAAUGAGGGAAUGGGUAGUGGAUGGAGCAGAAGACAAAGCUAUAUACUGUAGCCGGGGCCGCACACUUCUUCAGAAUGAGG